UCUCAAAAGGCACAUCCAUUAAAACAAGGAUUGAAAC
This 37-nucleotide non-coding RNA is filed under the name uncultured archaeon. The record is from RNAcentral.